This 403-nucleotide ribosomal RNA is filed under the name Pectobacterium wasabiae. Its description in RNAcentral is "bacterial SSU rRNA". It matches the Rfam family "Bacterial small subunit ribosomal RNA", at positions 1133 to 1533 of the family's 1533-position model. Lineage: Bacteria; Pseudomonadati; Pseudomonadota; Gammaproteobacteria; Enterobacterales; Pectobacteriaceae. The record is from RNAcentral.
GGGAACUCAAAGGAGACUGCCGGUGAUAAACCGGAGGAAGGUGGGGAUGACGUCAAGUCAUCAUGGCCCUUACGAGUAGGGCUACACACGUGCUACAAUGGCGUAUACAAAGAGAAGCGACCUCGCGAGAGCAAGCGGACCUCAUAAAGUACGUCGUAGUCCGGAUUGGAGUCUGCAACUCGACUCCAUGAAGUCGGAAUCGCUAGUAAUCGUAGAUCAGAAUGCUACGGUGAAUACGUUCCCGGGCCUUGUACACACCGCCCGUCACACCAUGGGAGUGGGUUGCAAAAGAAGUAGGUAGCUUAACCUUCGGGAGGGCGCUUACCACUUUGUGAUUCAUGACUGGGGUGAAGUCGUAACAAGGUAACCGUAGGGGAACCUGCGGUUGGAUCACCUCCUUACC